GACGAACGCUGGCGGCGUGCUUAACACAUGCAAGUGGAGCGACGAACCAGGGCUUGCCCUGGGGCAAAGCCGCGAACGGGUGAGUAACACGUGGGUAACCUGCCCCGAAGACCGGGACAACCCGAGGAAACUCGGGCUAAUACCGGAUGUGGUCACUCUUCAUAAGGAGAGUGAGCAAAGGAAGCUACGGCCUCCGCUUCGGGAUGGGCCCGCGGCCCAUUAGCUUGUUGGUGAGGUAACGGCUCACCAAGGCUUCGAUGGGUAGCUGGUCUGAGAGGACGAUCAGCCACACUGGGACUGAGACACGGCCCAGACUCCUACGGGAGGCAGCAGUGGGGAAUCUUGCGCAAUGGGCGACAGCCUGACGCAGCAACGCCGCGUGAGGGAAGAAGGCUUUCGGGUCGUAAACCUCUUUCAGGAGGGACGAAGCUUCGGGAGUGAAUAGCUUUCCGGAGUGACGGUACUUCCACAAGAAGCCCCGGCUAACUACGUGCCAGCCGCCGCAGUAA
RNAcentral lists this ribosomal RNA (509 nucleotides) under uncultured bacterium. RNAcentral's name for it is "partial 16S ribosomal RNA". It matches the Rfam family "Bacterial small subunit ribosomal RNA", at positions 28 to 523 of the family's 1533-position model. The record is from RNAcentral.